AAUAGAUACCCCGGUAGUCCACGCCGUAAACGAUGGAUGCUAGCUGUUCGGCGUAAGCUGAGUGGCUAAGCGAAAGUGAUAAGUAUCCCACCUGGGGAGUACGAACGCAAGUUUGAAACUCAAAGGAAUUGACGGGGGCCCGCACAAGCGGUGGAGCAUGUGGUUUAAUUCGAUGAUACGCGAGGAACCUUACCAGGGCUUAAAUGUAGAUUGACAGGUUUAGAGAUAGACUUUUUCUUCGGACAAUUUACAAGGUGCUGCAUGGUUGUCGUCAGCUCGUGCCGUGAGGUGUCAGGUUAAGUCCUAUAACGAGCGCAACCCCUGUUGUUAGUUGCCAGCAAGUCAAGUCGGGAACUCUAACAAGACUGCCAGUGCAAACUGUGAGGAAGGUGGGGAUGACGUCAAAUCAUCACGGCCCUUACGUCCUGGGCUACACACGUGCUACAAUGGUAGGGACAGAGAGCAGCCACUUCGCGAGAAGGAGCGAAUCUAUAAACCCUAUCACAGUUCGGAUCGGAGUCUGCAACUCG
RNAcentral lists this ribosomal RNA (530 nucleotides) under uncultured bacterium. RNAcentral's name for it is "bacterial SSU rRNA". It matches the Rfam family "Bacterial small subunit ribosomal RNA", at positions 777 to 1314 of the family's 1533-position model. The record is from RNAcentral.